Molecule: transfer RNA, 74 nt
Filed under: Chloroflexota bacterium
Lineage: Bacteria; Bacillati; Chloroflexota
Also listed under: 1 other name
Description: Chloroflexi bacterium tRNA-Val
Rfam family: tRNA
About the family: Transfer RNA (tRNA) molecules are approximately 80 nucleotides in length. Their secondary structure includes four short double-helical elements and three loops (D, anti-codon, and T loops). Further hydrogen bonds mediate the characteristic L-shaped molecular structure. tRNAs have two regions of fundamental functional importance: the anti-codon, which is responsible for specific mRNA codon recognition, and the 3' end, to which the tRNAs corresponding amino acid is attached (by aminoacyl-tRNA synthetases). tRNAs cope with the degeneracy of the genetic code in two manners: having more than one tRNA (with a specific anti-codon) for a particular amino acid; and 'wobble' base-pairing, i.e. permitting non-standard base-pairing at the 3rd anti-codon position.
Source: RNAcentral
GGGCGAUUAGCUCAGGGGUAUAGAGCGCCUGUCUUACACACAGGAGGUCAAAGGUUCAAAUCCUUUAUCGCCCA